GACGAACGCUGGCGGCGUGCUUAACACAUGCAAGUCGAACGGUAAGGCCCCUUCGGGGGUACACGAGUGGCGAACGGGUGAGUAACACGUGAGCAACCUGCCCUUGACUCUGGAAUAACAGUUGGAAACAGCUGCUAAUACUGGAUAUUCAUCGUCUCCUUCCUGGGGGGUGAUGGAAAGCUCCGGCGGUCAGGGAUGGGCUCGCGGCCUAUCAGCUUGUUGGUGAGGUAGUGGCUCACCAAGGCUUCGACGGGUAGCCGGCCUGAGAGGGCGACCGGCCACACUGGGACUGAGAUACGGCCCAGACUCCUACGGGAGGCAGCAGUGGGGAAUAUUGCACAAUGGGCGCAAGCCUGAUGCAGCAACGCCGCGUGCGGGAUGACGGCCUUCGGGUUGUAAACCGCUUUCAGUAGGGACGAAGGGUGACUGACGGUACCUACAGAAGAAGGACCGGCUAACUACGUG
RNAcentral lists this ribosomal RNA (465 nucleotides) under uncultured bacterium. RNAcentral's name for it is "partial 16S ribosomal RNA". It matches the Rfam family "Bacterial small subunit ribosomal RNA", at positions 28 to 507 of the family's 1533-position model. The record is from RNAcentral.